CUACAGAUUAAAACACUCUGUUAAAACCGUUAAAAUUCUCUGGGAAUUCGAAAAAGCCAAAAACAGAUAUAUCCAGAACGAUAAUAUACACAGUACAAGGUAUUAAAAGUGAUUUGAAUCAUCGUGAUAUUGACCGUUAAACGACCCGUAGUAUGUCCAAAUGUUCAGAAGAUGUUCUGAGUUGUUUUCAGAGAGAAUUAAUCAAUAUUUUUAUCAAACAGGUCUGCAGUGAAACAGUUUUUAUUAUGUAAAGAGCCUUAAGAUAUAUUUGUUGUGUAGGGUCGCGUCAAACUUGCAGAGACUUAUUUAAGAAAUAGAAAGUACUUACCUUGUCCUGUAUUUUU
Sitophilus oryzae (rice weevil) is the source of this 344-nucleotide long non-coding RNA. RefSeq lists it as uncharacterized. NCBI's taxonomy places the organism in Eukaryota, Metazoa, Arthropoda, Insecta, Coleoptera, Curculionidae. The record is from RefSeq and is a predicted model, not a curated record. The transcript has 3 exons.